This 253-nucleotide ribosomal RNA is filed under the name uncultured bacterium. RNAcentral's name for it is "partial 16S ribosomal RNA". It matches the Rfam family "Bacterial small subunit ribosomal RNA", at positions 524 to 776 of the family's 1533-position model. The record is from RNAcentral.
UACAGGGGGUGCAAACGUUGCUCGGAAUCAUUGGGCGUAAAGCGCACGUAGGCGGUUCGUUAUGUCGGAUGUGAAAGCCCUUGGCUUAACCGAGGAAGUGCAUCCGAAACUGGCGAGCUAGAGUACGAAAGAGGAUCGCGGAAUUCCCGGUGUAGAGGUGAAAUUCGUAGAUAUCGGGAGGAACACCGGUGGCGAAAGCGGCGAUCUGGGUCGAUACUGACGCUGAGGUGCGAAAGCGUGGGGAGCAAACAGG